Molecule: long non-coding RNA, 936 nt
Filed under: Homo sapiens (human)
Lineage: Eukaryota; Metazoa; Chordata; Mammalia; Primates; Hominidae
Description: HSALNT0073280
Source: RNAcentral
ACAAGGAGCCCCCUGUCACCUUCUUUUAAAACAGAUCUUUCUGUCUCUGUCUUCAUUUCUCCAUUCAUCCCCCUUCAUUCAAUCCUGUAGCAACUGGCAGUGACAAGUGGUGCCCAGGACAGGGACAUGAGCAAAGAAGGUCUGCUGGAGCAGAGAAAGUGAAACUGACCAGAUGAGCAAGAAACCUUGGGACAAGUCUACUGGCAGCUAAUAUAACCAUGGAUCCCAACCAUGGGCCCAGCUCCUCCAAUAUGAGCCAUGAGCCAGUUGAAUCUGAAUGCAAAGACAUGGGGACAGAUCAAGAAAACCACACAAAAAGCUGAGAAACUGCUAGAGCAUCAGGUCUUCAAAAUCAGGUGGACCACCAAAUGGCAAUUGAGAGCUGCAGAACCUGCAAUUACCUUUAUUCAAUUAAUGAAAAAACAAAAAGAGGGAGAUGUUACAGGCCAAAAGAAUGAGGGUCGUGACCAACUCAGCAUACCACUGGAGGCUAUAUGAGCAAACAGAAAACUGUUCUCAUGAAAGCAGGAUGUUGGAAAACUGAUGACUAUGUCUGCCCCCAGAAGGAGUGCUGAGGGCAAUCACACCCCAAGCACAGUGUUCCUUGUGAUUAUCUGUAGGAAUAUCUGAAGCCUGUUGUACAAAGAAAGAAAUUAUGUGUACCUGUGAUAAAUCAAGCAGCUGACCAACCAUUACCUCUUCCUCCCUGCUCUUUUCACCUAAUAAAUAUGAAGGGCUGUAGAAGCUCAAAGCCUUUGUUCACUAGAAGCAAGGAGCCCCUGACACCUUCUUUUAAAACAGAUGCACAUACCAAGGUUACCAGCACUCGGGGAAGCAAGGACGGAAGAAGAAAAGAGGAUGCUCUUUCUCCCUCAUGUACCCCAGGUAUCUGCUAGAAAGAGAAGAGAACUAGGGACACCUGCCACCCUCUUCCUA